GACGAACGCUGGCGGCGUGCUUAACACAUGCAAGUCGAACGGAAAGGCCCUGCUUUUGUUGGUUGCUCGAGUGGCGAACGGGUGAGUAACACGUGAGUAACCUGCCCUUGACUUUGGGAUAACUUCUGGAAACUGGGGCUAAUACCGGAUAUGAUCUCCUGCUGCAUGGUGGUGGUUGGAAAGUUUCGGCGGUUGUGGAUGGACUCGCGGCUUAUCAGCUUGUUGGUGGGGUAGUGGCUUACCAAGGCUUUGACGGGUAGCCGGCCUGAGAGGGUGACCGGCCACAUUGGGACUGAGAGACGGCCCAGACUCCUACGGGAGGCAGCAGUGGGGAAUAUUGCACAAUGGGCGGAAGCCUGAUGCAGCAACGCCGCGUGCGGGAUGACGGCCUUCGGGUUGUAAACCGAUGUCGCCUGUGACGAAGAGUGAGUGACGGUAAUGGGUAAAGAAGCACCGGCUAACUACGUG
Molecule: ribosomal RNA, 468 nt
Filed under: uncultured bacterium
Lineage: Bacteria
Description: partial 16S ribosomal RNA
Rfam family: Bacterial small subunit ribosomal RNA
Source: RNAcentral